GCUCUUUCUACUGCGGCUCGGCCUCGGUACCCCGUGCCCGGCAGGGACCCCGAGCCCUGCUCCUCCGCGCCCCACACUCAGGCACACCUCUUCCGGCCAAGUGGUCGUCGGGUAACUCCCAAGUAGAGGCCACCUCCUCUAGGCGGAGACCCUCGGAGCUGGUCCCACGCUAUGGGUGCCCUGGGGCCGAGGGCCUGGAAGGUGGUGCGAGGCCACAGGUUCUGCCCUCCGGGCUCUACUCGCUGCCCCGGUGUGGGACGGGGGUUUGGCUGAGAGCGCAGGUUGUGGUUAACUAGCGAGGGAGUCGGUGCAUCUCGCUUUUGCAGAAGUCACCGCGCUGGAGCACAACGGAAUGCAGAUGUGCAUCCUCCAGCUGUAGCGAGAGAGGGGGUACGUGGUGAGAACCGACGGCCUUUCUGUCUGGAGCCUGUGGCACGCGCGAGCAAUCCCAGCAACUCUGGAGGCAGACGCAGACCCUUCUGCAAGUCAGAGGCCAGCCUGGGCGACCCAGCAAGGACCUGUCCCCAAACAAAAAAGUAAAGACUGGAGAUGAAGAUGGGUGAUAAAGCGCCCCUGGGUUCAAUCUCG
Long non-coding RNA from Ictidomys tridecemlineatus (thirteen-lined ground squirrel), 588 nucleotides. RefSeq lists it as uncharacterized. Lineage: Eukaryota; Metazoa; Chordata; Mammalia; Rodentia; Sciuridae. The record is from RefSeq and is a predicted model, not a curated record.